CVRCDUUGCACCGGAUCCCAUCAGAACUCCGCAGUUAAGCGUGCUUGGGCGAGAGUAGUACUAGGAUGGGUGACCUCCUGGGAAGUCCUCGUGUUG
RNAcentral lists this ribosomal RNA (96 nucleotides) under Carpinus caroliniana subsp. virginiana. Lineage: Eukaryota; Viridiplantae; Streptophyta; Magnoliopsida; Fagales; Betulaceae. The record is from RNAcentral.